This 68-nucleotide transfer RNA is filed under the name Equus asinus (donkey). It matches the Rfam family "tRNA". Rfam says of the family: Transfer RNA (tRNA) molecules are approximately 80 nucleotides in length. Their secondary structure includes four short double-helical elements and three loops (D, anti-codon, and T loops). The record is from Rfam by way of RNAcentral. RNAcentral also lists the same sequence under 1 other name. Lineage: Eukaryota; Metazoa; Chordata; Mammalia; Perissodactyla; Equidae.
GGUCUUGUGCUCAUGGAAGCCUCUGUCUGACCAUACAGAUGAUCCAGGUUCGAAUCCUGGCAAGGCCA